RNAcentral lists this transfer RNA (64 nucleotides) under Cryptolaemus montrouzieri. Its description in RNAcentral is "tRNA-Asp". Lineage: Eukaryota; Metazoa; Arthropoda; Insecta; Coleoptera; Coccinellidae. RNAcentral also lists the same sequence under 1 other name. The record is from RNAcentral.
AAAAAUUUAGUUAAAAUUAUAACAUUAGUUUGUCAAACUAAAAUUAUUUAUUAAAUAAUUUUUA